Long non-coding RNA from Osmerus eperlanus (European smelt), 171 nucleotides. RefSeq lists it as uncharacterized. The record is from RefSeq and is a predicted model, not a curated record. The transcript is spliced from 2 exons. Lineage: Eukaryota; Metazoa; Chordata; Actinopteri; Osmeriformes; Osmeridae.
GAAGACGGGACUGGGAGAGAAAGCUGUGGAGCUCCUCAUAGAGGAGACACUCAAACACACCCCGGCAGCCCAUUCAAAACAAGCCAGGGCCAACAGACAGGACCUGUAGCGGGGACUGGCAGAAGAUUUUAAUUCACUGUUUGGCACUUUGUUUGAAAUAAAAUGACAAUG